RNAcentral lists this long non-coding RNA (1074 nucleotides) under Eutrema salsugineum. Its description in RNAcentral is "long non-coding RNA (ESAL_LNC000046)". Lineage: Eukaryota; Viridiplantae; Streptophyta; Magnoliopsida; Brassicales; Brassicaceae. The record is from RNAcentral.
AUCCAUCGGCCUAAUAGCCAACUAGACGAGAGGAGGCGUCUAAGGAUGGCCCUUGAUGCUGUAUUAUUCUUGUUCUCGUUCAUUCUUAUUCUUGAUCUCUGUCGUCUGUUUGCAACUUCUGGGUUCUUCCAAUAGAGUUACCUGAAACAUGUUUCUUAAAAAUUUCAGGCACGUGGAAUGAAUUAUUUGCAUAGCUGUAAUCCGAUGAUUGUCCAUCGUGAUCUAAAGUCACCUAACCUUCUAGUUGACAAAAACUGGGUUGUGAAGGUCAACAUUCUCUCCGUAAAAUAAUUUAUUUCUUACUAAUUGGAUAAUGUUCUAUCUUAUGUAACAGCAAAUUAGUGUGCAUAACAAUAACGGCUUUUCAUAUAUAUCAGGUGUGUGAUUUUGGGUUGUCUAGAAUGAAAAACAGCACAUACCUCUCUUCAAAGUCAACAGCAGGCACGGUAAGCUGCUAAGAAGUUAGCGUCUCCCUUUUCUAAGUCAUAUCCCUCUGCCGUUAUAAUAGCUAGUUUGUUAAUCUAAGUUAGGCUUGAAUUUGUGUUGGUAUCUUUCAGGCUGAAUGGAUGGCUCCAGAAGUGCUUAGAAACGAACCUGCUGAUGAGAAGUAUGAUUUUCAUUCUUUUUUCAUUUAGUUCGCUCUGCUCAUCAAAAUUCUUCUCUGUUCCCUAUUUAUGAAGUAGGCCUAAUGUCAAGAAAAAUACAAUACCUGAAACAGGUGCGACGUUUACAGCUACGGUGUGAUUCUAUGGGAACUCUUUACGUUACAGCAACCGUGGGGAAAGAUGAACCCCAUGCAAGUUGUUGGGGCAGUUGGGUUUCAGCACCGACGUCUUGACAUUCCUGACUUUGUCGAUCCAGCAAUUGCAGAUAUAAUCAGUAAAUGCUGGCAAACGUGAGUAUUUAGUGUUUGCACCACAGCAACUUCACUGGACAUCCAUAUCUCUCUGUUGAUGAGUCUUGACUCUCUUACGGCUUAUAGUUCUGUAACGACCUUGACACUUGGGCUUCUAAGCUAUCUUGUUCUUAUGAUUUGGCUGAUAUAUGUAGUGGGUUUUGUGUGCGUGUGUUUAU